Molecule: ribosomal RNA, 253 nt
Filed under: uncultured bacterium
Lineage: Bacteria
Description: partial 16S ribosomal RNA
Rfam family: Bacterial small subunit ribosomal RNA
Source: RNAcentral
UACGAAGGGGGCUAGCGUUGUUCGGAAUUACUGGGCGUAAAGCGCGCGCAGGCGGCUAUCCAAGUCAGUGGUGAAAGCCCGGAGCUCAACUCCGGAACUGCCAUUGAAACUGUGAGACUUGAGUAUGAGAGAGGUGAGUGGAAUUCCCAGUGUAGAGGUGAAAUUCGUAGAUAUUGGGAAGAACACCGGUGGCGAAGGCGGCCUGCUGGGCUAUGGCUGACACUGAGGCGCGACAGCGUGGGGAGCAAACAGG